Molecule: small nuclear RNA, 107 nt
Organism: Octodon degus (degu)
Lineage: Eukaryota; Metazoa; Chordata; Mammalia; Rodentia; Octodontidae
Source: Ensembl
ACUCUCACUUCGGCAGUACAUAUACUAAAAUAGGAAUGAUACUGAGAAGAUUAGCAUGACCCCUGCGCAAGGAAGAAAUGCAAAUUCGUGAAAUGUCCCAUACUUUU